This 20-nucleotide unclassified non-coding RNA is filed under the name Chlamydomonas reinhardtii. RNAcentral's name for it is "small RNA Cre_2764". The record is from RNAcentral. Lineage: Eukaryota; Viridiplantae; Chlorophyta; Chlorophyceae; Chlamydomonadales; Chlamydomonadaceae.
UCUCAGGAGGACAUCGCCAC